AGGUAUGUGUGCGUACGCCAAGGUUCUGAAAAUCGGUUCGAACCGGCGGGUCGAACUGGUUGAACCGUAAACUGUUGCCAAACACGGUUCGGUCAGAAGCUAAAAUCGUAAAAUUUAAAAACCGAUAUUGAACCGCUGAACUGGCCGAGAACCGGUCAGUCGAACCGAACCGUAAACCAGCCAGUUUUUGAAAUGGGUCAAAAAUCAAAAUUUUCAAAAACGGUGCGUUGAAGCUUGGUUGUGAUUUUUGAAACCUAAUAUGCCUAACACACAGUAACACCCCUCUUGGCCUCUCCUCUCCAGCACACAGAAGCAGAACGCGAAGCAGCACACAGUAACACCCUAGCCCUAGGUUCCUUGCUACCGCCGUCCCCAGGUUCUCGGUGCCUCCACUUCUUACUCUUCCCUCUGUCCGGAACCCAGGUAGCUCAGCUUGUCAUCCCCAUCUUCUCUGGCUUCUCUGUUCGUGGCUUGGAGCAGCUCGCCGUUGGGUCGCCGCUUGCUGUCGCCUCGCCUAUCGCCGUCGUCUCACCGGUUGCCAUCCGUGUCUUCGUCGAAGGUUCAGUGUUGGCUUCAACUUUCAAAUGGGAAUUGGGAGCUGGUGAAGAUAAUAACAUGUUUGGAACUGAGUCUAUUGUUUCACUGCCUGAUGGAAA
Non-coding RNA from Arachis ipaensis, 656 nucleotides. The record is from RefSeq and is a predicted model, not a curated record. NCBI's taxonomy places the organism in Eukaryota, Viridiplantae, Streptophyta, Magnoliopsida, Fabales, Fabaceae.